CUCAUGGAUAAUUUAUUUCUUGAUCAAAACUGAUCAAGUUGUAGAGCUUGUCAAGAAGAUAAACUGUGUCAAAGAUCGUGUUAAUCGAAUGUGGAUUAAUACCUGAUCGGAGGUGAUUGGUGUGAAUUCUUUUUUAUGAAAAUAGAAUUUGGUACACUGGAUCAAAAACCCAUUUUCAGUACGGCAGGAAUUCUCUCCGUUUUCAUCACGCUCCGGUUGAUUUCUGUUCUGGGGUAUGCUUCUCUUCUCUUUGUGCGAUAUUGAAACUCCAAUUGUUUUGUGGAAUCAUCAGACUGCACAGAUGGCGCGCGCAAGUGCAAAUUUCUAUACUGCUUAAUACGAGAUGAAUAAUCGGUUUUUGUGCUUUUGCGUAAGCUACCACAUCUGUGACGUCCAUGUAGCACAAUCCUUUCAGGAUACCAGUCCAGCUGAUGGGGAGGAGGUGCCACCCAAAAGAUACUACUAGUUUGUCCUGUCGUCAUUGGUAUCCUCUAUUUGCAUCAUGCUGACAUUUGCGCAGCCUAUAUUUUUCAUGGUAUGGUUUAAUGGUUUAUCCCUAUCUUAAUCAGAUUCCUCUAUUGUUCCAUUGGAAAUUCUCCGAGGACAUACAAGUUCAAAUGGAAGAGAUUAGUGCUUUGAUUCUCCAUCUUGUUCUUCUUCAUGUGGUUCAAAUGGAAGCAAUGAUUAUCCUUGUGGAAUAUAUUGAAGUAUCUCAACAUUAGUGUGGACACACUUUCUAUUGAAUAUCGGCUGACAUUUUUGUCAAUUUUCUUGAAUUUUAGGAGUAAUGAACUGCAAGUUCCAUCCUUGGCAGCCCUGGUUGUUCAUGACAGGUGCUGGUUUAGUGAUCAGAUUUCACUAAGAUUAGUUGUGGAGGGAAAGGCGUUUCAGAAAUGGUGAUAGGACAGUAUCAAUAGGAUGGAGGGCAGCUGAAAUAUGUAUCAGUUGUUAUAUUCAGUGUUAAAGCUUUGUUUGGUUAACAAUUUAGAAAGUUAUUUUUGAGAGUUGGAGUGGUAAUGAGUGGAGAGAGAUAGAGAGAAAGAUUUAUUGAAAACUGUGCCAAGAGUUAAAAGUAACUCUCUGAAUGUUAAACCAAACGGAGUGUUAUCUCUUGGAUAGACUACUUGAUGAAUGGUUUAUAGCAAAGGAUGGAGAGGAGCUGAUCCCCAGGCCUCAAGUUCUCUGUACCGUAUUUUGGUAUAUCGGUGUUCUUGUGCAUUAUUUGCCUUUGGAUCUCAUUUUAAAAUUCUCAUCUCUCAAGAUUUCAACUUAAUCCAAGAAUCAAAAAGACAGAAAUAGUGGGUCUACCAAACAACCAGCACAGCGGACUUGAACCCAUGAUCAUUCCCCCCUUAAGUCGUUUUGCCUGAUGUUGAUUGAAUUGCAUUUUUUCUUAUGAAGGUUCAUCCUUGGUUUCAUCUUUGGUGUUAUUCCUUGGUAUGUUGGAGCAAUCAUGCUACUCUGUGUCAAAAGAAAGGACUACAACAGAGAGAAACCUGGAUAUAUCGCUUGCGCAAUUUUUGCUGUCAUUGGUACCGUUCUGAUCGUUGUAGAAAUGACGACGAGGUAUGCAUAGCGAAGACCUUGAUUGCAUUUUUACUGCGCAUUGCGAAGUUUCUCGGCUGAUCUUGUCUAUGGUUGAGCAGCUUCUUUGUAUUGGAGAGGGAGAGAGUAAUCAGUACAGAGGAAACUUAUGAAAAAACCGUGUUGUUAGAGAGAGGUUGGUUAAGAAUCCCAAGUGAACAAGUUGAUUCAGUUUCAGCUUAAGUUUGUGAGUUUAUUGAAUCGUUCAUACGAAGUUGCAUAAUGAUUUAAGCUUAUUGUCCACAUUCAACA
Rhododendron vialii is the source of this 1836-nucleotide long non-coding RNA. RefSeq lists it as uncharacterized. The transcript has 3 exons. The record is from RefSeq and is a predicted model, not a curated record. NCBI's taxonomy places the organism in Eukaryota, Viridiplantae, Streptophyta, Magnoliopsida, Ericales, Ericaceae.